GCAAUGCAUUCUUAAGAUGGAGGAGAUUAAUGAACCCUCCCCCCUUACAAUGAACAACACAUGGACACUCUGAGGAUGAUCCCUUUGCUUCCAUUAAGAGUUCCAAGAUGUGGGUCUGAUUGACGGGGGUGUGAAAUGUAACAGCCAAUGGUGUACUUAAGCUAGGACUGACAGUCCCAAUUUUCAAGAGCAAUGCAUUCUUAAGAUGGAGGAGAUUAAUGAACCCUCCCCCCUUACAAUGAACAACACAUGGACACUCUGAGGAUGAUCCCUUUGCUUCCAUUAAGAGUUCCAAGAUGUGGGUCUGAUUGACGGGGGUGUGAAAUGUAACAGCCAAUGGUGUACUUAAGCUAGGACUGACAGUCCCAAUUUUCAAGAGCAAUGCAUUCUUAAGAUGGAGGAGAUUAAUGAACCCUCCCCCCUUACAAUGAACAACACAUGGACACUCUGAGGAUGAUCCCUUUGCUUCCAUUAAGAGUUCCAAGAUGUGGGUCUGAUUGACGGGGGUGUGAAAUGUAACAGCCAAUGGUGUACUUAAGCUAGGACUGACAGUCCCAAUUUUCAAGAGGAAAAACCCCUACAUAAACAAAUACAUGGGCGCAGACAUUUUGGACACCCAAAGUUGUGCGGAGGAGAAAAUGCUAGCUGGCGCAUGGUUGGUCAAUAAGAGAAAAGACUUGUUAUGUAUCUGACUAGUGAAAUAAAGUUGAUAAAAAUCUCAUAGCAAGACUUGGGAUUCUUUGAGAUAUAUAGGAGUUACAGGUAAAAAUUUGA
This is a long non-coding RNA of Saccostrea cuccullata (small rock oyster), 774 nucleotides long. RefSeq lists it as uncharacterized. The record is from RefSeq and is a predicted model, not a curated record. The transcript has 7 exons. NCBI's taxonomy places the organism in Eukaryota, Metazoa, Mollusca, Bivalvia, Ostreida, Ostreidae.